This 280-nucleotide ribosomal RNA is filed under the name Trichoderma sp. BAB-2308. RNAcentral describes it as "partial 28S ribosomal RNA". It matches the Rfam family "Eukaryotic large subunit ribosomal RNA", at positions 376 to 676 of the family's 3401-position model. The record is from RNAcentral. Lineage: Eukaryota; Fungi; Ascomycota; Sordariomycetes; Hypocreales; Hypocreaceae.
CUUGAAAGAGGGUUAAACAGUACGUGAAAUUGUUGAAAGGGAAGCGCUUGUGACCAGACUUGGGCGCGGCGGAUCAUCCGGGGUUCUCUCCGGUGCACUUCGCCGCGUUCAGGCCAGCAUCAGUUCGGCGCGGGGGAAAAAGGCUUCGGGAACGUGGCUGCUCCGGCAGUGUUAUAGCCCGUUGCAUAAUACCCUGCGCUGGACUGAGGACCGCGCAUCUGCAAGGAUGCUGGCGUAAUGGUCACCAGCGACCCGUCUUGAAACACGGACCAAGACGGCC